GAUGAACGCUGACAGAAUGCUUAACACAUGCAAGUCUACUUGAACUUCGGUUUGGGUGGCGGACGGGUGAGUAACGCGUAAAGAACUUGCCUCACAGUUAGGGACAACAUUUGGAAACGAAUGCUAAUACCUGAUAUUAUGAUUUUAGGGCAUCCUAAGAUUAUGAAAGCUAUAUGUGCCGUGAGAGAGCUUUGCGUCCCAUUAGCUAGUUGGAGAGGUAACGGCUCACCAAGGCGAUGAUGGGUAGCCGGCCUGAGAGGGUGAACGGCCACAAGGGGACUGAGACACGGCCCUUACUCCUACGGGAGGCAGCAGUGGGGAAUAUUGGACAAUGGACCAAAAGUCUGAUCCAGCAAUUCUGUGUGCACGAUGACGUUUUUCGGAAUGUAAAGUGCUUUCAGUUGGGAAGAAAAAAAUGACGGUACCAACAGAAGAAGUGACGGCUAAAUACGUGCCAGCAGCCGCGGUAAUACGUAUGUCACAAGCGUUAUCCGGAUUUAUUGGGCGUAAAGCGCGUCUAGGUGGUUAUGUAAGUCUGAUGUGAAAAUGCAGGGCUCAACUCUGUAUUGCGCUGGAAACUGCAUGACUAGAGUACUGGAGAGGUAAGCGGAACUACAAGUGUAGAGGUGAAAUUCGUAGAUAUUUGUAGGAAUGCCGAUGGGGAAGCCAGCUUACUGGACAGAUACUGACGCUAAAGCGCGAAAGCGUGGGUAGCAAACAGG
This 722-nucleotide ribosomal RNA is filed under the name uncultured Fusobacterium sp. RNAcentral describes it as "bacterial SSU rRNA". It matches the Rfam family "Bacterial small subunit ribosomal RNA", at positions 28 to 776 of the family's 1533-position model. The record is from RNAcentral. Lineage: Bacteria; Fusobacteriati; Fusobacteriota; Fusobacteriia; Fusobacteriales; Fusobacteriaceae.